This is a long non-coding RNA of Anolis carolinensis (green anole), 625 nucleotides long. RefSeq lists it as uncharacterized. Lineage: Eukaryota; Metazoa; Chordata; Lepidosauria; Squamata; Anolidae. The record is from RefSeq and is a predicted model, not a curated record. The transcript is spliced from 2 exons.
UAUUUGCCUCCCUCAGACCCAGCUCCCAGGUCUACAGCCCUUAUGACACCACACAGAUACACUAAUGCAAUUCCAUUCCAAGAUUCCAUGGGAUGUAGCCAUGGAAUUCAAUUGACAUCAAAGUGCUACAACUAUGUGCUGUAAAGGGGCCUCAGUCUUUUCUAUCCUUGCAGGGUUUAUGGCCAUGACCAUCACUGACACAUGACCCACCUGGGAGAAUUGAAAGACUGCAGAAUCUAUGAAGAGUCAGCCAAAGAUUCAAAAUUGUGAGACAAGUAGGAAUGACUUCUGAGUGAACUAGUGGUUUGAAGCCUGACGUGUCAAGCUUCCAGAAGGCCAGAUGAGAUGAAGGCAAAAUCAGAGGCUUUAGGCUCAAUAGCCAAAGAGAAUGUCAGCAGAGACAAUGUUCCAAAGAACUGACAUCCCACAAUUGCAAACAUACAGAUUUAUUUAUAGUACUGUGACAGCUAUUGAAGAUCACCUCACUGGCUCCUGGUUGGUCUGAAACAGUGCCGGCUAGGAUUUAUUUCCUUAUAGGUCUAAGGCUCCAUCCAACAUUAUAUUGCUGGUUGGUCCCAGCCGUGGUGGGAAAUUUUAAUAAACCGUCAUUGGAUUAUUUUGAAAA